CCUACGGGAGGCAGCAGUGAGGAAUAUUGGUCAAUGGACGAGAGUCUGAACCAGCCAAGUAGCGUGAAGGAUGACUGCCCUAUGGGUUGUAAACUUCUUUUAUAUGGGAAUAAAAUGUUUCACGUGUGGGAUUUUGUAUGUACCAUAUGAAUAAGGAUCGGCUAACUCCGUGCCAGCAGCCGCGGUAAUACGGAGGAUCCGAGCGUUAUCCGGAUUUAUUGGGUUUAAAGGGAGCGUAGGUGGAUUGUUAAGUCAGUUGUGAAAGUUUGCGGCUCAACCGUAAAAUUGCAGUUGAAACUGGCAGUCUUGAGUGCAGUAGAGGUGGGCGGAAUUCGUGGUGUAGCGGUGAAAUGCUUAGAUAUCACGAAGAACUCCGAUUGCGAAGGCAGUUCACUGUACUGCUACUGACACUGAGGCUCGAAGGUGUGGGUAUCAAACAGGAUUAGAUACCCCGGUAGUC
This 460-nucleotide ribosomal RNA is filed under the name uncultured bacterium. RNAcentral's name for it is "partial 16S ribosomal RNA". It matches the Rfam family "Bacterial small subunit ribosomal RNA", at positions 338 to 795 of the family's 1533-position model. The record is from RNAcentral.